UGAGGUGCAGGCAUUUAAAAGGGAUGUUCAACCUUUUGUACAGCUCUCAUGGAUUAGGGAACUCAAUUAGAAAGUCCAAAGAGGGCUUUGCAGCCUUCUGUCUGGGUUUAACAGCCAAGUCUUAGCUUGGUCUCUCCACCUAGAGAGAUCCUUACAUGCAAAAAGCUCACAGAAGAGGAUUUAAUAUGGAUAUCAUGUUCAAGAUUUUGUGAUAAAAUACAGGAUGAUCUCUUACUUGAUGCACUCAUCUACCUUCUUAAAAGGAUUUAAAAAAGGCU
Molecule: long non-coding RNA, 278 nt
Filed under: Phoenix dactylifera (date palm)
Lineage: Eukaryota; Viridiplantae; Streptophyta; Magnoliopsida; Arecales; Arecaceae
Description: long non-coding RNA (PDAC_LNC004610)
Source: RNAcentral